Molecule: ribosomal RNA, 128 nt
Filed under: Glomeraceae sp.
Lineage: Eukaryota; Fungi; Glomeromycota; Glomeromycetes; Glomerales; Glomeraceae
Description: partial large subunit ribosomal RNA
Rfam family: Eukaryotic large subunit ribosomal RNA
Source: RNAcentral
CGGCAACAGCUCAAAUUUGAAAUCUGGCCUCUUUCGGGGUCCGAGUUGUAAUCUAGAGAGGUGUUUUCCGUGCUGGACCAUGUAAAAGUCCCUUGGAACAGGGCGUCAUAGAGGGUGAGAAUCCCGUC